AGAACGAACGCUGGCGGCAGGCCUAACACAUGCAAGUCGAACGCGAUCUUCGGAUCGAGUGGCGCACGGGUGAGUAACGCGUGGGAAUCUGCCCUGUGGUACGGAAUAACAUCGGGAAACUGGUGCUAAUACCGUAUAUCCCCUGAGGGGGAAAGAUUUAUCGCCAUGGGAGGAGCCCGCGUAGGAUUAGCUAGUUGGUGAGGUAACGGCUCACCAAGGCGACGAUCCUUAGCUGGUCUGAGAGGAUGAUCAGCCACACUGGGACUGAGAUACGGCCCAGACUCCUACGGGAGGCAGCAGUGGGGAAUAUUGGACAAUGGGGGAAACCCUGAUCCAGCCAUGCCGCGUGUGUGAUGAAGGCCUUCGGGUUGUAAAGCACUUUCGCACGUGACGAUGAUGACGGUAACGUGAGAAGAGCCCGCUAACUCGCGCCAGCAGCCGC
RNAcentral lists this ribosomal RNA (442 nucleotides) under uncultured bacterium. Its description in RNAcentral is "SSU rRNA". It matches the Rfam family "Bacterial small subunit ribosomal RNA", at positions 26 to 518 of the family's 1533-position model. The record is from RNAcentral.